Molecule: ribosomal RNA, 467 nt
Filed under: uncultured bacterium
Lineage: Bacteria
Description: partial 16S ribosomal RNA
Rfam family: Bacterial small subunit ribosomal RNA
Source: RNAcentral
GACGAACGCUGGCGGCGUGCUUAACACAUGCAAGUCGAACGGAAAGGCCCUGCUUUUGUGGGGUGCUCGAGUGGCGAACGGGUGAGUAACACGUGAGUAACCUGCCCUUGACUUUGGGAUAACUUCAGGAAACUGGGGCUAAUACCGGAUAGGAGCUCCUGCUGCAUGGUGGGGGUUGGAAAGUUUCGGCGGUUGGGGAUGGACUCGCGGCUUAUCAGCUUGUUGGUGGGGUAGUGGCUUACCAAGGCUUUGACGGGUAGCCGGCCUGAGAGGGUGACCGGCCACAUUGGGAUGGGGAUACGGCCCGGACCCCUACGGGGGGAAGAAGUGGGGAAUUUUGCACAAGGGGCGGAAGCCUGAUGCAGCAACGCCGCGGGCGGGAUGACGGCCUUCGGGUUGUAAACCUCUUUCGCCUGUGACGAAGCGGGAGGGACGGAAAUGGGUAAAGAAGCACCGGCAAACUACGG